Callithrix jacchus (white-tufted-ear marmoset) is the source of this 1976-nucleotide long non-coding RNA. Lineage: Eukaryota; Metazoa; Chordata; Mammalia; Primates; Cebidae. The record is from Ensembl.
CUGGCAGGUGACCAGAUGGCCCUGUCCACUGGGGCCUCAGCAAUGCUUCGUCAGCCUGGUUAGAGGACCCGUGUCCAGAUGUGUUAAUCAGUUAGGGAACCCUUGUCCAGGUGUGUUAAUCAGUAAGGAGACUUGUGUCCAGGUGUGUUAAUCAGUUAGGGGACUCAUGUCUAAGUGUGUUAAUCAGUUAGAGGACUCGUGUUCAGGUGUGUUAAUCAGGGGACUCAUGUCUAAGUGUGUUAAUCAGUUAGGGGACUCUUGUCCUCGUGUGUUAAUCAGUUAGGGACCCGUGUCCAGGUGUGUCAAUCAGUUAGGGGACUCAGUCUAAGUGUGUUAAUCAGUUAGAGGACUCGUGUUCAGAUGUGUUAAUCAGUAAGGGGACUCAUGUCCAGGUAUGUUAAUCAGUUAGGGGACUCUUGUCCAGGUGUGUUAAUCAGUAAGGGGACUCAUGUCCAGGUAUGUUAAUCAGUUAGGGGACUCUUGUCCAGGUGCGUUAAUCAGUUAGGGACCCAUGUCCAGGUGUGUUAAUCAGUUAGGGACCUGUGUCCAGGUGUGUUAGUUAGGAGAGUCUUGUCCAGGUGUGUCAAUCAGUUAGGGGACUCUUGUCCAGGUGUGUUAAUCAGCUAGGGGACUUGUAUCCAGGUGUGUCAAUCAGUUAGGGGACUCAUGUCCAGGUGUGUCAAUCAGUUAGGGACCUGUGUCCAGGUGUGUUAAUCAGUUAGGGACCCGUGUCCAGGUGUGUUAAUCAGUUAGGGGACUCAUGUCUAAGUGUGUUAGGGGACCCGUGUCCAGGUGUGUUAAUCAGUUAGGGGACUCAUGUCUAAGUGUGUUAGUUAGGGGACCCAUGUUCAGGUGUGUUAAUCAGUUGGGGACCCAUAUCCAGGUGUGUUAGUCAGUUGGGGACCCAUAUCCAGGUGUGUUAAUCAGUUAGGGGACUCAUGUCUAAGUGUGUUAAUUAGUUAGGGGACUCAUGGUCAGGUGUCUUAAUCAGUUGAGGACCCAUUUCCAGGUGUGUUAAUCAGUUGGGGACCCAUAUCCAGGUGUGUUAAUCACUUGGGGACCCAUAUCCAGGUGUGUUAAUCAGUUAGGGGACUCAUGUCUAAGUGUGUUAAUCAGUUAGGGGACUCAUGUUCAGGUGUGUUAAUCAGUUGGGGACCCAUGUCCAGGUGUGUUAAUCAGUUAGGGGACUCAUGUCUAAGUGUGUUAAUCAGUUAGGGGACUCAUGUCUAAGUGUGUUAAUCAGUUAGGGGACUCAGUCUAAGUGUGUUAGUUAGAGGACUCGUGUUCAGUUGUGUUAAUCAGUUGGGGACCCAUGUCCAGGUGUGUUAAUCAGUUGGGGACCCAUGUCCAGGUGUGUUAAUCAGUUGGGGACCCAUAUCCAGGUGUGUUAAUCAGUUAGGGGACUCACAUCAAAGUGUGUUAAUUAGUUAGGGGACCCAUGUCCAGGUGUGUUAAUCAGUUGGGGACCCAUGUCCAGGUGUGUUAAUCAGUUGGGGACCCAUAUCCAGGUGUGUUAAUCAGUUGGGGACCCAUAUCCAGGUGUGUUAAUCAGUUGGGGGCCCAUGUCCAGGUGUGAUAAUCAGCUGGGGGCCCAUGUCCAGGUGUGUUAAUCAGUUGGGGACCUAUAUCCAGGUGUGUUAAUCAGCUGGGGACCCAUGUCCAGGUGUGUUAAUGAGUUGGGGGCCCAUGUCCAGGUGUGUUAAUCAGCUGGGGACCCAUGUCCAGGUGUGUUAAUCAGUUGGGGACCCAUGUCCAGGUGUGUUAAUCAGUUGGGGACCCAUGUCCAGGUGUGUUAAUCAGUUGGGGACCCAUGUCCAGGUGUGUUAAUCAGCUGGGGACCCAUGUCCAGGUGUGUUAAUCAGUUGGGGACCCAUGUCCAGGUGUGUUAAUCAGCUGGGGACCCAUGUCCAGGUGUGUUAAUCAGCUGGGGACCCAUGUCCAGGUGUGUUAAUCAGUUGGGGACCCAUGUCCAGGUG